Long non-coding RNA from Pogonomyrmex barbatus (red harvester ant), 369 nucleotides. RefSeq lists it as uncharacterized. NCBI's taxonomy places the organism in Eukaryota, Metazoa, Arthropoda, Insecta, Hymenoptera, Formicidae. The record is from RefSeq and is a predicted model, not a curated record.
GGCUUGAUGUUUCCAAUUGAUCGUAAGAUCAAUACUUUUUUUUAUAAUUACAGUUAUAUAUAGAGAUACGAUCAACAUGAUGGAAUGAUGCCACAUUGACCUCUUCCACUAGGCAUGUUUCCGAAAGCUGGCCUUGUGAUAAGACGAGUCAAGGAUAGAAAACAUGCGUGCCCUGUCUUUUAUCAGCCGUUUCCGGGUCUAUUCUAAAUCAAAGUCGACUUCACGUGGCUGAUAUAAAUUUCCGGUUUUAUUGAGCUGACAAACAAGUGAAGAAGCUUCACGAUUCAGCAUGAAUACGCUUCUACGUGUUACAUCAACGAAUGGCACGACAUACAAAUUAUAAUAUAAAAAUAAAUAAUCCAAACAUUA